This is a small nuclear RNA of Mastomys coucha (southern multimammate mouse), 104 nucleotides long. The record is from RefSeq and is a predicted model, not a curated record. NCBI's taxonomy places the organism in Eukaryota, Metazoa, Chordata, Mammalia, Rodentia, Muridae.
UUUGGCCGCACAUAUACUAAAAAAAACCUGGAACUAUACAAAGCCAAAUAGCAUGGUCCCUAUGCAAGGAUGACACCCAAAUUUGUGAAGCAUUUUAGAUAUCA